Molecule: ribosomal RNA, 275 nt
Filed under: uncultured bacterium
Lineage: Bacteria
Description: partial 16S ribosomal RNA
Rfam family: Bacterial small subunit ribosomal RNA
Source: RNAcentral
CCUACGGGUGGCUGCAGUGGGGAAUAUUGGACAAUGGGCGCAAGCCUGAUCCAGCCAUGCCGCGUGGAUGAUGAAGGCCCUAGGGUUGUAAAGUCCUUUCGACGGGGAAGAUAAUGACGGUACCCGUAGAAGAAGCCCCGGCUAACUUCGUGCCAGCAGCCGCGGUAAUACGAAGGGGGCUAGCGUUGCUCGGAAUCACUGGGCGUAAAGCGCACGUAGGCGGACUCUUAAGUCGGGGGUGAAAUCCCGGAGCUCAACUCCGGAACUGCCUUCGA